ACCUCAUGUAGAUUUGAAUAUACCCGCUGGUGUUCUCGAUUUGGAGUAUUAUAAUCAUAUUUUAAAUGAUGAAAAUCUGGAAUGUGGCAUGGAUAAUAAAAUGAAUAAGGAAAAUUUAAUUGAUGGUUCUCCUAUACAUGAAGCAGAUGAUAUUGAUUAUUUGGUUGAAUAUAACUUUGACGACGCAGUAAGCAACCAUGAUGGUGAUCUUUAUCUUGAUAUGGAAUCUGGAAUUGAUAAUUGUACUAAAAUGGAUUUGUAGAAAAGUUUGAAACAUGGUUCUCCAGUUGAAGGGAUGGAUUAACUUAUCUCUUAUAUUGUGAGUAUGCUUGAUACAAAGGGUUUAGCUUUAAGAAAGGGACUUAGAACUAUUUCAUGAAAACUGAAGAGGUGCGAAUGAAAGAAUAACUAUGCUCCUGUCAUGGAAUGUGAGAUAGUCGACGUCUUCAAGAAAGGUUG
This 459-nucleotide long non-coding RNA is filed under the name Salvia miltiorrhiza (redroot sage). RNAcentral's name for it is "long non-coding RNA (SMIL_LNC003336)". The record is from RNAcentral. Lineage: Eukaryota; Viridiplantae; Streptophyta; Magnoliopsida; Lamiales; Lamiaceae.